This 3147-nucleotide ribosomal RNA is filed under the name Pogostemon cablin (patchouli). RNAcentral's name for it is "eukaryotic LSU rRNA". The stretch from base 369 to 3147 matches the Rfam family "Eukaryotic large subunit ribosomal RNA", at positions 1 to 2802 of the family's 3401-position model. Lineage: Eukaryota; Viridiplantae; Streptophyta; Magnoliopsida; Lamiales; Lamiaceae. The record is from RNAcentral.
ACUCUUGAUAAUGGAUAUCUAGGCUCUCGUAUCAAUGAAGAACGUAGUGAAAUGCAAUACUUGAUGUGAAUUGCAGAAUCCCAUAAACCAUCGAGUCUUUGAACGCAAGUUGCGCCUGAAGCCACUAAGCCGAGGGAACGCCUGCCUGGGUGUCAUCCAUCGCGUCGCCCCCUCCCCGGGCCCAAAUGUGUGGCGGGGGCAGAUAGUGCUCCCCCGUGUGCGAUACCGCUCGGUCGGCCCAAAUGUGAUCCCCGGCGAUGUACAUCACGAAAAGUGGUGGUUGAACCCUCAAUGCAUGCUGUCGUGCUCCACUGUGUCAGGAUUCACGAUCAGACCCAACAGCACGUGCGAGCACGUCACCUUCGACCGUGACCCAGGUCAGGCAGGAUCACUCACUGAGUCUAAGCAGAUCAAUAAGCGGAGGAAAAGAAACUUACAAGGAUUCCCUUAAUAACGGCGAGUGAACUAGGAAUAGCCCAACUUGAGAAUCGGGUGGCCAUGCCGUUCGAAUUGUAGUCUGGAGAAGCAUCCUCAGUGGCGGACCAGGGUCGAGACCCCUGGAAUGGGGUGUCAUAGAGGGUGAGAGCCCCGUUGCUCCCGGACCUUGUCACACCACGAGGCGCUAUCAGCGAGUCAGGUUGUUUGGGAAUGCAGCUCCAAUCAGGCGGUAAAUUCCGUCCAAGGCUAAAUACGGGCGAGAGACCGAUAGCGAACAAGUACCAUGAGGGAAAGAUGAAAAGGACUUUGAAAAGAGAGGAAAGCGAAUGGGGGCCGACGAUGCAUCCCGGUCAGAUGUGGAACGACGAGAACCAUUCCGCCGAUCGACUCGGGGCGUGGACCAGCAUGGAUCGAUGCGGCGCUCAAAGCUCAGGUAGUCGAUAUACUCGUUGUACAGCGUCGCACUGAUCUAGGCGGACAACUCGUGCUUCGUGUGUGCCUCGGUAACUGUACAUUCCCGGUGCUAGCUUGUGGGCUCCCCAUUCGACCCGUCUUGAAACAUAGACCAAGAAGUCUGACAUGUGCGCGAGUCAAUGGCGAAUAAACCCAUUAGGUGCAAGGAAGCUGACCGGCACAAUCCCCCGAGGGGUACACCGCCGACCGACCUUGAUCUUCUAAGAAGGGUUCGAGUGAGCGUACCUGUCGGGACCCAAAAGAUGGUGAACUAUGCCUGAGCAAGGCGAAGCCAGAGGAAACUCUGGUGGAGGCCCGCAGGGUACUGAAGUGCAAAUUGUUCAUCUGACUUGGGUAUAGGGGCGAAAGACCAAUCAAACCGUCUAGUAGCUGGUUCCCUCUGAAGUUUUCCUCAGAAUAGCUGGAGCUCUAGUGUGAGUUCCAUCGAGUAAAGCCAAUGAUUAAAGGCAUCGGGGGGCGCAAUGCCCUUGACCUAUUCUCAAACUUUAAAUAGGUAGGAUGGCACGUCUACUCCGUUGAGCUGUGCCGGAGAAUCAUGAGCUUCAAGUGGGCCAUUUUUGGUAAGCAGAACUGGCGAUGCGGGAUGAACUGGAAGCCGAGUUAUGGUGCCCAACUGUGCGCUAAUCUAAUCCCACAAAGGGUGUUGGUCGAUUAAGACAGCAGGACGGUGGUCAUGGAAGUCAAAAUCCACUAAGGAGUGUGUAACAACUCACCUACCGAAUCAACUAGCCCCGAAAAUGAAUGUCGCUGAAGCACUGACCUAUACCCGGCCGUCGGGGUAAGGGCCAGGCCCCGAUGAUUAGGAGGGCACGACGGUCGCUGCAAAACCCUGGGCACAAGCCUUGGCAGAGCAGCCGUCGGUGCUGAUCUUGGUGCUAGUAGCAAAUAUUCAAAUGAGAACUUUGAAGGCCGAAGAGGGGAAAGGUUCCAUGUGAACGGCACUUGCACAUAGGUUAGUCGAUCCUAAGGGUCGGUAGAAGCCCGACAGACAGCGCCCUCUGAAAGGGAAUCAGGUAAAAAUUCCUGAACUGGGACGCGGCGGUUGGAGGUAAUGUUAGGGAGUCUGGAGAUGUCGGCGGGGGCAUCGGGAAGAGUUAUCUCUGUUUUACAGCCCGCCCACCCUGGAAACAGCUCAGCCGGAGGUAGGGUCCAGAGGCUGAAGAGCACCGCACAUCGCGUGGUGUCAGGUUCGCCCCCAGCAGCCUUUGAAAAUCUAGAGGACCGAGUACCGUCUGCACCCGGUCAUACUCAUAUCCACAUCAAGUCUCCAAGGUGAACAACCUCUGGUCGAUGGAACAAUGUAGGGAAGGGAAGUCAGAAAAAUGGAUCUAUAACCUCAGGAAAAGGAUUGGCUCUGAGGGCUGGGCACGGGGGUCCCAUUCCCGAACCCAUCGGCUAUUGGCGAACUGCUCGAGCUGCUCAUGCAGCGAGAGCGGGUCGUCGCUUGCCGACCAGGGGACAGACUGGGAACGACUCUCUCGGGGGCCUUCCCCGGGCAUCGAACAGUUGAAUUAGAACUGGUACGGACAGGGAAUCCGACUGUUUAAUUAAAACAAAGCAUUGCGAUGGUCCCUGCGGAUGCUCAUGCAAUGUGAUUUUUGCCUAGUGCUCUGAUUGUCAAAGUGAAGAAAUUCAACCAAGCGCAGGUAAACGGCGGGAGUAACUAUGACUCUCUUAAGGUAGCCAAAUGCCUCGUCAUCUACUGAGUGAUGCGCAAGAAUGGAUUAACGAGAUUCCCACUGUCCCUACCUACUAUCCAGCGAAACCACAGCCAAAGGAACGGGCUUGGCGGAAUCUGCGGAGAAAGAAGACCCUGUUGAGCUUGACUCUAGUCCGACUUUGUGAAAUGAUUUGAGAGGUGUAGGAUAAGUGGGAGGCAAAAGGUGAAAGUGAGAUACCACUACUUUUAACGUUAUUUUACUUAUUCUGUAAAUCGGAGGUGGGGCAUCACCCCUCUUUUUGGACCCAACGCUCGCCCCAGCGAGCUGAUCCGGGUGGAAGACAUUGUCAGGUGGGGAGUAUGGCUGGGGCGGCACAUCUAUUAAAAGAUAACGCAGGUGGGGAGAUUUGCAUAUGUGGGCAAUAGGAGUUGGGCAUGGGCCAUGGCAUGGGCAAGCCAAGGCAACAGCCGUGGGCAUGGGCCGUGCAAGCAUUGUCUGUGCAUGGGAAACCCGUGGCAAUGUGCGUGGGCAUACUUGGGCGACCCCCGUGGGUAACCGUGGGCAACGGGAGUUG